CUCCGUAGGUGACCCUGCGGAGGGAUCAUUACACAAAUAUGAAGGCGGGCUGGAACCUCUCGGGGUUACAGCCUUGCUGAAUUAUUCACCCUUGUCUUUUGCGUACUUCUUGUUUCCUUGGUGGGUUCGCCCACCACUAGGACAAACAUAAACCUUUUGUAAUUGCAAUCAGCGUCAGUAACAAAUUAAUAAUUACAACUUUCAACAACGGAUCUCUUGGUUCUGGCAUCGAUGAAGAACGCAGCGAAAUGCGAUAAGUAGUGUGAAUUGCAGAAUUCAGUGAAUCAUCGAAUCUUUGAACGCACAUUGCGCCCUUUGGUAUUCCAAAGGGCAUGCCUGUUCGAGCGUCAUUUGUACCCUCAAGCUUUGCUUGGUGUUGGGCGUCUUGUCUCUAGCUUUGCUGGAGACUCGCCUUAAAGUAAUUGGCAGCCGGCCUACUGGUUUCGGAGCGCAGCACAAGUCGCACUCUCUAUCAGCAAAGGUCUAGCAUCCAUUAAGCCUUUUUUUCAACUUUUGACCUCGGAUCAGGUAGGGAUACCCGCUGAACUUAAGC
RNAcentral lists this ribosomal RNA (553 nucleotides) under uncultured fungus. RNAcentral's name for it is "eukaryotic LSU rRNA". The stretch from base 197 to 350 matches the Rfam family "5.8S ribosomal RNA". The record is from RNAcentral. Lineage: Eukaryota; Fungi.